UUCUUGCUCAGAAUACCUUCAUGAUUUCUUGCUAAAAUUCCAAAAUCUUUAGCUUGGCAUUUGGGAUUUUCUACAGUAGGAACCCUGUCCAUCACAUAAACCUUAACGUCACUACAUGUGCUUAUGCAAAAAGGGCUGCCUGAAUGAGUUGCUUGAAUGUAUGUACUAUUUGAAUAAUUACCUGUUUGCCAUUGCGUGCUGUUUAUAUUACCUGGAAUGCCAUCCUUUUCUUCUUGAGAGCUUUAGCACAAAUCCCUCCUCAGUAAAAAUAGUAGCUUAAGUUUCCUGAGUGCUUACGUCUGUGAGGCACCAUGCCUUUAAUUUCCACUAUUGCAUUGAAGCAGUGGUUAUAGUUAUCAGUCAAGCCUUGUACAUUAAAAUAUACACACCCAAAUAUAUAUACAUACCUUGUGACACAGGUACUGUUAUCAUCAACUUGCAUUUGGAGGAUUUGUCCAAGAUCACAUACCUAGUAAGUAGCAAGAGUGGGUCUCUGUCUCAUGUAAUUCCAGAGCCCAGGUGCUUAGUCAUACUCCAGUGCCAUAGCACUUAUAGCUAACACUUACUAGAGGACCAGUUACAUGUCAGGGACUGCUAUAAGGGCUUACAUAUUUGAUCCUUUGAACACCCUAAUGAGGUAGCAACUGCAGUGAUCUCUGUUGUAUAUAUGAUGAAAUUGACGCUUUGAGAAGUAACUUACCCGCAGUCUCAUAUCUGCGAAAUGGGAAAGCCAGAGUUAGAACCCAGGCAGUCUGCUUUUGGAAUUCUACUGUAAGUCUCUUUGGUAAGCUGUCAAAUUGUACAGCCACAGAGGGAAAAAUUUACUGUUUGUCCAUUUAUUUGUCAUUAUAUAAGGGCUUGGGUAUAAAGAAAUAAGCAUUAUAUAGGCGUUAUAUAAGGACUUGGAUAUAAAGAAAUGAAACAAGAAGAAGAAAAUCCCAUCUUCUCUAAACUCAUAGAGCUUGCGUUGUAGUACCACUGUCUAUACCUGAUCCUCAAGGGCACAGAUGUGGUAUUUAGUUGUUCUGUAUUAGUAGUACCUUGCGCGAGUAAGUAUUAAUGUGUUGGUGAUGAUAAUUCAUUGGCUUUUCUGUUACCUCCUGCCAAGGAGACUUUGCCCUGAUUUAGGCUUAUUAAUAAUUUUUUUUUUCCAGACAACUCGUAGCCAGGCGUUCAUUCUCUUCCCGCUCAUCUUUCCUCUUCCCAUUUGAAUCAUGUUUUUGUUGACAUCUAGAGUAUUUUAUCCCAUUAUGUGCUAUGGAGCAUUCUUCUAUUUGUAGGGAUAGGAUUACCACCCUGGAGAAUUAAUUUUUUUCUUUUUUCCUCAGUACUAUACUGGCAAUUGCUGGAGAAGAUUUUGCAAUUGUUGCUUCUGAUACUCGAUUGAGUGAAGGGUUUUCAAUUCAUACGCGGGAUAGCCCCAAAUGUUACAAAUUAACAGACAAAACAGUCAUUGGAUGCAGUGGUUUUCAUGGAGACUGCCUUACGCUGACAAAGAUUAUUGAAGCAAGACUAAAGAUGUAUAAGCAUUCCAAUAAUAAGGCCAUGACUACGGGGGCAAUUGCUGCAAUGCUGUCUACAAUCCUGUAUUCAAGGCGCUUCUUUCCAUACUAUGUUUACAACAUCAUCGGUGGACUUGAUGAAGAAGGAAAGGGGGCUGUAUACAGCUUUGAUCCAGUAGGGUCUUACCAGAGAGACUCCUUCAAGGCUGGAGGCUCAGCAAGUGCCAUGCUACAGCCCCUGCUUGACAACCAGGUUGGUUUUAAGAACAUGCAGAAUGUGGAGCAUGUUCCACUGUCCUUGGACAGAGCCAUGCGGCUGGUGAAAGAUGUCUUCAUUUCUGCGGCUGAGAGAGAUGUGUACACUGGGGACGCACUCCGGAUCUGCAUAGUGACCAAAGAGGGCAUCAGGGAGGAGACUGUUUCCUUAAGGAAGGACU
Molecule: small RNA, 1939 nt
Filed under: Pan troglodytes (chimpanzee)
Lineage: Eukaryota; Metazoa; Chordata; Mammalia; Primates; Hominidae
Description: processed transcript
Source: RNAcentral